CGACAUCAAGAAGGCCGCUUUUUGUAACCUUUUCUUUUCUCUUCUUAGUUAAAAAAAUUGAACUGGCCGGCCUUCUCCGUUCAUCUCGCAAAACCCUAGUUGAGGACGCGCGCGGCAUGGACGAAUCCUCCGAGAAGCUCCCGGCCUCCGGUCCAAAUGGGAACGAUGGGGCUUCGCCGGCGGCGGAGGAUGCCGGGUUUCGGGUUGGCCAGAGGGUCCACGCCAUCGGCAAUCCCCGGCGGACGGGGACGGUGCGGUACGUGGGAGAAGUGGAGGGGCACGUCGGGGAAUGGGUGGGCGUCGACUGGGAUGACGGCGAAGGGAAGCACGACGGUUCCGUCAACGGGGUCCGGUACUUCGCGGCCGCCGGCGAGAGGUCGGCCUCGUUCGUCCGCCCCAAGAACCUCAGCGCCGGGAUCUCAUUCAUCGAGGCGCUCCAUCUCCGGUACCGAGGAGAUUCCACCAAGGAAGAAGAGGAUGAAAUGUAUGUUCUUUCAACUAGCAACAAACGUGUAUCCAUACAACUUGUGGGAAAAAAUAAAGUUCAAGAGAAGUUAAAACACUUCGAGGAGUUGCGAGGGGCAUCAGUUUCUUAUUUGGGAGUCAGCUUUGUUGAACCUUCGCAUGAGAUCAAUGCUCUAGUCCCGAAUCUUGAAGAGCUCGAUUUGACAGGAAACCUACUUUCAAAAUGGCAAGACAUUGGUUCCCUUUGUGAUGCCUUACCAGCACUUGGAGUCCUUAAUUUAACAAACAAUUUCAUGGAGCAUGAUGUAGAGGAACUUCCUUUACUUAAAAUAAUUCGUACUUUGGUUCUCAAUAACUGUGGCAUGGCAUGGAAAGAGGUUGAAAUACUUAAAGAGUCACUUCCUGCAGUUGAAGAGCUCCAUUUAAUGGCAAAUAAGUUAAGGACAAUCAUGCCUGCACCUUCUGUACCAGUGACUGCCUUUGUUCCAGGAUUUGAUAACUUGCGGCUUAUAAACUUGGAAGACAACUGUAUUGAUUCAUGGGAUGAAAUUCUGAAGUUAUCUUACCUAAGAAGCUUGGAGCAGCUUCAUUUGAACAAGAAUAAACUGAAGCAUAUAUACUACCCUGCUAAUCAUCCAUGCCCAGGAACACCGAAUAAUUAUUAUAUGCAAGAUACAUCUUGGAGGCCUUUUGAGAAUUUGCAGUGCCUUCUUCUAGGAUGUAAUGAGAUCGAAGACUUGGCAUCUAUAGAUUCACUAAACUCUUUCCCUAGCUUGAUGGACAUCAGGCUUUCUGAGAAUCCUAUAGUUGAUCCAGCUCAAGGUGGUGUACCAAGAUUUGUUUUGGUUGCACGUCUUGCGAAAGCCAAGAUAUUAAAUGGGAGUGAGGUUAGCCCACGUGAACGGAAGGAAUCAGAAAUUCGAUAUGUCCGUCUUGUUAUGGCCAAGAUGCAGUCAGAUGAUUCAGAGGAGAUUAAGCAACUUCACCCUAGGUUUGCCGAGCUUAAGGCACUACAUGGCAUCGAAGAUGAGAAGCCUUCUUGUGGAAUAUCAGGCCCGCAGAAAAUGGCUUCUGGACUUCUUUGUGUCACCUUGAAAUGUGUGGGAGCUUCCAUUGGAGAGAAGCAGCCCUUGAAAAAAAAAAUACCACCUUCAACUACUGUAUGUUGGCAAGUUAAAGGUUCUAUGUGAGAGUUUCUUCAAACUGAAAGGAAUCCAGUUGAGAUUAUUUCUUCAAGAAGAGGGUUCCCCAUUACCCCUAUUGCUUAAUGAUGAUAUGGCUCCUUUAAUGGAUCUUGGAAUCGGCAGAGAGGCAACCAUUCUGGUGGAUGAAGAAAGUUAGCUUUUUGAGAGGUUGCAGUUCAGGUGCACAAACGUGGCAUGAAUCUCUGGUGAUUUGAUCCAGCUAGCUGAAGGUCCUUUCUUUCUUAUACAUUAGCACAAAAUUUACUCGUUUGCACUUUUGCAGUUUGCCUUGAUGAUGCUCCAAUGUUCUUACAAGGGAAAAGAUAACAAAGUUAAAAUGAUUUUGUAAUUUUCUUUGCAAUCUUGAGAUACAGUGAGAGCGAGAUUGAUGUGACAAUUUACAAGGUUUGCUGAAUUUCUUUUGUAGGUCUGUAUUCCGCGAGGAAUGUAAAUUUAUCAUUUUUGUUAUUGCCAUUACUAAUUAUUGUAUGACAAUAGUGUUAUGUUUAUGUCUUUUGAACA
Molecule: RNA transcript, 2171 nt
Organism: Phoenix dactylifera (date palm)
Lineage: Eukaryota; Viridiplantae; Streptophyta; Magnoliopsida; Arecales; Arecaceae
Gene: PFI
Gene name: tubulin folding cofactor E / Pfifferling (PFI)
Source: RefSeq, a predicted model, not a curated record